Molecule: microRNA precursor, 130 nt
Filed under: Procavia capensis (Cape rock hyrax)
Lineage: Eukaryota; Metazoa; Chordata; Mammalia; Hyracoidea; Procaviidae
Description: miRNA (ENSPCAG00000019911.1)
Source: RNAcentral
GGACUCCCAGUUACAUUUGAAUUUCAGAUAUACAACGGAAAAUUUCUUAGUAUAAAGGCAUUUCAAACAUUGCAUGGGACACACUUAUGCUAAAGAAGUAAUUUGUCACGUAUCUGAAAUUCAUAUUUAA